CAUGAUAUUUUCAUCUUAAAAACACCUAAAACAUUCCUACACAGGUAUGACUGAUCAAGACAUCAUCAACAUUUUUCCCUUGUUAUGUUAUUGUUCCUCCACUUAUUCAUCAUUAUCAGCUCUGCAUCAGGAAAACUUCGUGUUCAAAGAAUCUCCGUAAAUAUGUUGAUGGGCUAUCUCCAUUGAGAUAGCGUCGUUAAAAUACAACGCAGUAAAUAUGUUGAUGGGCUAUCUCCAUUGAGAUAGCAUCGUUAAAAUACAUUGCUACUCUCUUUCACGGGAUCGUGACUGACCCUUUCAUCUCCUGACUCGUGGCUGGAAUACAAUGCUACUCUCGUUCGCAGCAGCGGACUUGCUUUCUUUCUUUCCAUCGUCACCGGAUCUUGAUCCCCCUGUUUGUUGCUACUUUGCUGGCCAGGCACGAAACAACAGCUGGAAGAUUUUGCCUGCCAGCCACAUCAGGCCUACACCCUUGGAAGCAUCAUAAGAUCCCUUCUCUGAGAGCGAUGAUGGUUGGUCCGUAACGUGUGCUCAACCCCUGGAAGCAUCAUAAGAUCCCUUCUCUAGGAGCGAUGAUGGUUGGUCCGUAACGUGUGCUCCAUAAGGAGCCCACGAGUUGCCGCUCCUCCUCGGCAGCUCCGAGAUCUUCAGCCACUGAUACCCUCGAUACGUCGCUGAAAGACUUCCUUCAGUUUGUUUUCUUUGGCUACAACAGUGCUACCACCGG
RNAcentral lists this long non-coding RNA (727 nucleotides) under Musa acuminata (dwarf banana). RNAcentral describes it as "long non-coding RNA (MACU_LNC003935)". Lineage: Eukaryota; Viridiplantae; Streptophyta; Magnoliopsida; Zingiberales; Musaceae. The record is from RNAcentral.